CGGGGGGAGCAAGCGUUGUUCGGAUUUACUGGGCGUAAAGGGCGCGUAGGCGGCCACUGCAAGUCGGUUGUGAAAUCUCCGGGCUUAACCCGGAAAGGUCAAUCGAUACUGCAGGGCUAGAGUGCAGAAGGGGCAACUGGAAUUCUCGGUGUAGCGGUGAAAUGCGUAGAUAUCGAGAGGAACACCUGCGGCGAAGGCGGGUUGCUGGGCUGACACUGACGCUGACAGCGCGAAAGCUAGGGGAGCGAACGGGAUUAGAUACCCCGGUAGUCCUAGCCUUAAACGAUGAAUGCUUGGUGUCUGGGGUUUUAUAGGUCCCCGGGUGCCGUCGCUAACGCUUUAAGCAUUCCGCCGUGGGGAGUACGGUCGACAAGACUG
This 378-nucleotide ribosomal RNA is filed under the name uncultured organism. RNAcentral describes it as "bacterial SSU rRNA". It matches the Rfam family "Bacterial small subunit ribosomal RNA", at positions 526 to 896 of the family's 1533-position model. The record is from RNAcentral.